GUGGGUAACCUGCCUGUAAGACUGGGAUAACUCCGGGAAACCGGAGCUAAUACCGGAUAGUUCCUUGAACCGCAGGUUCAAGGAUGAAAGACGGUUUCGGCUGUCACUUACAGAUGGACCCGCGGCGCAUUAGCUAGUUGGUGGGGUAAUGGCUCACCAAGGCGACGAUGCGUAGCCGACCUGAGAGGGUGAUCGGCCACACUGGGACUGAGACACGGCCCAGACUCCUACGGGAGGCAGCAGUAGGGAAUCUUCCGCAAUGGACGAAAGUCUGACGGAGCAACGCCGCGUGAGUGAUGAAGGUUUUCGGAUCGUAAAGCUCUGUUGUUAGGGAAGAACAAGUGCGAGAGUAACUGCUCGCACCUUGACGGUACCUAACCAGAAAGCCACGGCUAACUACGUGCCAGCAGCCGCGGUAAUACGUAGGUGGCAAGCGUUGUC
This 441-nucleotide ribosomal RNA is filed under the name Bacillus sp. F257. RNAcentral describes it as "bacterial SSU rRNA". It matches the Rfam family "Bacterial small subunit ribosomal RNA", at positions 117 to 545 of the family's 1533-position model. Lineage: Bacteria; Bacillati; Bacillota; Bacilli; Caryophanales; Bacillaceae. The record is from RNAcentral. RNAcentral also lists the same sequence under 1 other name.